RNAcentral lists this ribosomal RNA (1478 nucleotides) under uncultured Bordetella sp. RNAcentral describes it as "partial 16S-23S ribosomal RNA intergenic spacer". It matches the Rfam family "Bacterial small subunit ribosomal RNA". Lineage: Bacteria; Pseudomonadati; Pseudomonadota; Betaproteobacteria; Burkholderiales; Alcaligenaceae. The record is from RNAcentral.
GGUUCGAUCAUGGCUCAGAUUGAACGCGGCAGGAUAAUAACACACCUUUACACAUGCAAGUCGGGUGACGGCAGCACGGACUUCGGUCUGGUGGCGAGUGGCGAACGGGUGAGUAAUGUAUCGGAACAGUGCCUAGUAGCGGGGGAUAACCCUGCGCGAAAGCGUAGCUAAUACACAUACGCCCCUUCGGGAAAGCGAGACCUUCGGGCCUCGCACUAUGAAGCGACACGUGAUAUCGGAUUAGCUAGUUGGUGGGGGUAACGGCUCACCAAGGCGACGAUCCGUAGCUGGUUUGAGAGGACGACCAGCCACACUGGGACUGAGACACGGCCCAGACUCCUGGGAGUAGCAGUGGGAAUUUUGGACAAUGGGGGGAACCUGAUCCAGCCAUCCCGCGUGUGCGAUGAAGGCCUUCGGGUUGUAAAGCACUUUUGGCAGGAAAGAAACGGCACGGGAUAAUACCCCGUGCAACUGACAGUACCUGCAGAAUAAGCACCGGCUAACUACGUGCCAACAGCCGCGGUAUGCGUAGGGUGCAAGCGUUAAUCGGGUACUGGGCGUAAAGCGUGCAGGCGGUUCGGAAAGAAAGAUGUGAAAUCCCAGAGCUUAACUUUGGAACUGCAUUUUUAACUACCGAGCUAGAGUGUGUCAGAGGGAGGUGGAAUUCCGCGUGUAGCAGUGAAAUGCGUAGAUAUGCGGAGGAACACCGAUGGCGAAGGCAGCCUCCUGGGAUAACACUGACGGCGCUCAUGCACGAAAGCGGGGAGCAAACAGGUCCGAUACCCUGGUAGUCCACGCCCUAAACGAUGUCAACUAGCUGUUGGGGCCUUCGGGCCUUGGUAGCGCAACUAACGCGUGAGACCGACCCGCCUGGGAGUACGGUCGCAAGAUUAAAACUCAAAGGAAUUGACGGGGACCCGCACAAGCAGGUGGAUGAUGUCGGAUUAAUUCGGUAACGCGAAAAACCGCUACCUACCCUUGACAUGUCUGGAAUCCCGAAGAGAUUUGGGAGUGCUCGCAAGAGAACCGGAACACAGGUGCUGCAUGGCUGUCGUCAGCUCGUGUCGUGAGAUGUUGGGUUAAGUCGCAACAGGCACCUUGUCAUUAGUUGCUACGAAGGGCACUCUAAUGAGACUGCCGGUGACAAACCGGAGGAAGGUGGGGAUGACGUCAAGUCCUCAUGGCCCUUAUGGGUAGGGCUUCACGUCAUACAAUGGUCGGGACAGGGGGUCGCCAACCCGCGAGGAGCCAAUCCCAGAAACCCGAUCGUAGUCCGGAUCGCAGUCUGCAACUCGACUGCGUGAAGUCAGGGUAUCGCUAGUAAUCGCGGAUCAGCAUGUCGCGGUGAAUACGUUCCCGGGUCUUGUACACACCGCCCGUCACACCAUGGGAAUUGGAGUUUUAAGUAGUUAGCUAACCGUAAGGAGGGCGAUUACCACGGUAGGAUUCAUGACUGGGGUGAAGUCGUACAAGGCCAA